Molecule: ribosomal RNA, 433 nt
Filed under: uncultured bacterium
Lineage: Bacteria
Description: partial 16S ribosomal RNA
Rfam family: Bacterial small subunit ribosomal RNA
Source: RNAcentral
AACGAACGCUGGCGGCAUGCCUAACACAUGCAAGUCGAACGAGACCUUCGGGUCUAGUGGCGCACGGGUGCGUAACGCGUGGGAACCUGCCCUUAGGUUCGGAAUAACUCCCCGAAAGGGGUGCUAAUACCGGAUAAUGUCUUCGGACCAAAGAUUUAUCGCCUUUGGAUGGGCCCGCGUUGGAUUAGCUGGUUGGUAGGGUAAAAGCCUACCAAGGCGACGAUCCAUAGCUGGGCUGAGAGGCUGAUCAGCCACACUGGGACUGAGACACGGCCCAGACUCCUACGGGAUGCAGCAGUGGGGAAUAUUGGACAAUGGGCGAAAGCCUGAUCCAGCAAUGCCGCGUGAGUGAUGAAGGCCUUAGGGUUGUAAAGCUCUUUUACCCGGGAUGAUAAUGACAGUACCGGGAGAAUAAGCUCCGGCUAACUCCGUG